This 30-nucleotide non-coding RNA is filed under the name Homo sapiens (human). Lineage: Eukaryota; Metazoa; Chordata; Mammalia; Primates; Hominidae. The record is from RNAcentral.
UCACCUUAGGUUGUACAGAUUGUAUUGGUC